AGCAGCCGCGGUAAUUCCAGCUCCAAUAGCGUAUAUUAAAGUUGUUGCAGUUAAAAAGCUCGUAGUUGAAUUUCAGGCCUGGCUGGACGGUCCGCCCUUCGGGUGAGUACUGUCUGUGGUCGGGUCCUACCUUCUGGCGAAGCGUCAUGGCCUUAACCGGCCGUGGCGGGGAACCAGGACUUUUACUGUGAAAAAAUUAGAGUGUUCAAAGCAGGCAAUCGCUUGGAUACAUUAGCAUGGAAUAAUGGAAUAGGACAAUGGUUCUAUUUGUUGGUUUCUAGGACCGUUGUAAUGGUUAAUAGGGAUAGUUGGGGGCAUUAGUAUUCAAUUGUCAGAGGUGAAAUUCUUGGAUUUAUUGAAGAUUAACUACUGCGAAAGCAUUUGCCAAGGAUGUUUUCAUUAAUCAAGAACGAAAGUUAGGGGAUCGAAGACGAUCAGAUACCGUCGUAGUCUUAACCAUAAACUAUGCCGACUAGGGAUCGGAUGAUGUAAUUUUUAAUGACUCAUUCGGCGCCUUACG
This 520-nucleotide ribosomal RNA is filed under the name uncultured Paraglomus. RNAcentral describes it as "SSU rRNA". It matches the Rfam family "Eukaryotic small subunit ribosomal RNA", at positions 569 to 1092 of the family's 1831-position model. The record is from RNAcentral. Lineage: Eukaryota; Fungi; Glomeromycota; Glomeromycetes; Paraglomerales; Paraglomeraceae.